RNAcentral lists this ribosomal RNA (497 nucleotides) under uncultured bacterium. RNAcentral's name for it is "partial 16S ribosomal RNA". It matches the Rfam family "Bacterial small subunit ribosomal RNA", at positions 28 to 507 of the family's 1533-position model. The record is from RNAcentral.
GAUGAACGCUGGCGGCGUGCCUAAUACAUGCAAGUCGAGCGAACGGACGAUAAGCUUGCUUCUCUGAUGUUAGCGGCGGACGGGUGAGUAACACGUGGAUAACCUACCUAUAAGACUGGGAUAACUUCGGGAAACCGGAGCUAAUACCGGAUAAUAUUUUGAACCGCAUGGUUCAAAAGUGAAAGACGGUCUUGCUGUCACUUAUAGAUGGAUCCGCGCUGCAUUAGCUAGUUGGUAAGGUAACGGCUUACCAAGGCAACGAUGCAUAGCCGACCUGAGAGGGUGAUCGGCCACACUGGAACUGAGACACGGUCCAGACUCCUACGGGAGGCAGCAGUAGGGAAUCUUCGGCAAUGGGCGAAAGCCUGACGGAGCAACGCCGCGUGAGUGAUGAAGGUCUUCGGAUCGUAAAACUCUGUUAUUAGGGAAGAACAUAUGUGUAAGUAACUGUGCACAUCUUGACGGUACCUAAUCAGAAAGCCACGGCUAACUACGUG